AUUAAUAAACAGCCACUUAACCUAGUAUGGGAUGCCUUUCCAUCCUCCACUAGAAACCAUCCAGGUGUUAGUCCUCUUUCGUAGCUUCUAAGAUUUGCUAAUAACAGUUACUUUGCAUCCCAUUCAAGACACGCACACACGCGCGCACACACUUUUUUAACCCUGAGAUGUAACCAAGCCUGUGCCAGAUGCUUGCGUGAGGCAGGUGCUUGGCCCAGAGUGGGGCCUCCGCACCCCCAGGGUUCUACCAGACUCUCCUCUGUCCUAGCACUUUCUGGGAGCCGGCAGCACUGUUUCCUCAUGGCAUUUGCCUUCUCUCUAAAAACUUCCACACUCCCAUAAGGGGAGGGAAAAAAUGAGGGUAUUCUUCAGCCCAAGAUCAGAAGUCUGGUGCUUGCUUGCUACUCUGUGCUGCACAACCAGACUAGAUCAGAGCUCUCGUGCCUGUCGAAACCACACUUCAGCAGAGGUCAGUGGAAACCUGCCUGCUGUGUUGCCAUUAGGGAACCAGGAGAGUCGCUGUGAGAGGCAAGGGGAAAUACUGGGAAAUACGGCCCACAAUGCAUUGGAAUUUUCUUUUAAAUGCCCCCCACACCACGGCUAGGUUGAGGCUGCAAGCUCUGCUUGGGGCCACUGCCGCAGCCUUGUACUGUCAGGUUCCUACGGCCCCCAUAGGGUAACAGUGAAGCUUCCUGAUGGAAUGCACGGGGAAUGGCUUAGUCAAAAGAAGGGUGGGGUGGGGGGUGCCUGGCUGGCUCAGUGGGUUGGGAAUCCGACUCUGAUGUCCUCUCAAGUCAUGAUCUCAGGGUUGUGGCAUCGAGCCCGCGUCGCGUCGGGCUCCACGCUUAACGUGAAGCAUGCUUAGGAUUCUCUCUCUCCUCUCUGCCCCGCCCCGCCCCGCCCCGCCGUCUCUCAGAAAGUGUGGGCUAGGAAUAUCCGGAAAAGACGAUAGGAGAGCCAGUAUCAGGGAAGACCUUCGUGGUCUCAAAUUCUCCAGUGGAGCCUUCAGUCCCAGGUCAUAAGGCCGGUUCCAGAGGGGGUGCUGGAUUUGGGCUGUCUUGAGAAAGACAGGAGGCAAGGUGCGCAAGCUUUGAAACUGGGUGUCCGCCUCGGAAUUCUCUUCGUCGGCGAGACGCACAGAAUGUCCACGGUCCCUUCUAAUCCCAGAGAAGCGCGCCGGCCGGGUUUUACUGAGAAGGGAAAUGGACCGAGAGGCCCGGAGGCAAUGACCUUCGGGACUGGAGCAAGUCUCUGGCCGGCUCUAACCGGCGUCCCCGCAGCCCGACCCCAGGCCGGGUUGAGGGCGCGCCCCGCUUCCGGAGGCGGGGUCCCAGAGGCCCCAGCUGGGGCUCCUGGAGCGCUGAGGGGUCCCAGGUGGGGCGCGGGGCGGGGCGGGGCGCGGGCUAAAGGCAGGGGCUGCGCUCGGGAGGAGAGGCCCGCCGCGGCGCCUCGGUGAACGCCGUGAACGCCAUGAACGCCAGCGGCCCGGGCUACCCGCUCGCCUCGCUCUACGUGGGCGACCUGCACCCCGACGUGACCGAGGCCAUGCUGUACGAGAAGUUCUCGCCCGCCGGCCCCAUCCUGUCCAUCCGCGUGUGCCGCGACGUGGCCACCCGCCGCUCGCUGGGCUACGCCUACAUCAACUUCCAGCAGCCGGCCGACGCGGAGCGGGCACUGGACACGAUGAACUUUGAAGUGAUCAAAGGCCAGCCUGUCCGCAUCAUGUGGUCCCAGCGAGACCCAGGACUCCGCAAGUCAGGUGUGGGCAACAUCUUCAUCAAGAACCUGGAGGACUCCAUUGACAACAAGGCCUUAUAUGACACCUUCUCCACCUUUGGGAACAUCCUGUCUUGCAAGGUGGUAUGUGACGAUCAUGGGUCCCGGGGCUUCGGCUUUGUCCACUUUGAGACCCACGAGGCUGCGCAUCAGGCCAUUGCCACCAUGAACGGGAUGCUGCUGAAUGACCGCAAAGUCUUUGUGGGCCACUUCAAGUCCCGACGGGAGCGGGAAGCAGAGCUGGGAGCUCGGGCCAUGGAGUUCACCAACAUUUAUGUGAAGAACCUCCAUGUGGACGUGGACGAGCAGGGCCUGCAGGACCUCUUCUCCCAGUUUGGUGGGCAAGUUCCCCGAGGGAAUCAGGGAUUACUUCGUCUAUUCUCAGGUUGGGCUGGGAGGAGGGGCCUUUCUGGGGGCUUCCUGAGGGGUCAGCAGGGGGCAGCAUUAAGUAGUCUAAAACCACGUGGUGGGGGAAGGGAGGAGAACAUCUUGGGACUUCCCAAACUCCCCUUUGAGCCAGGUUGGCCUUUCCCAGGGAAAAUGCUGAGUGUGAAGGUGAUGAGGGAUGACAUCGGCCACUCCCGAGGCUUCGGCUUUGUCAACUUUGAGAAGCAUGAAGAAGCCCAGAAGGCUGUGAUGGACAUGAAUGGGAAGGAGGUGAGCGGGCGGCUGCUGUACGUGGGCCGGGCCCAGAAGCGGGUGGAACGGCAGAAUGAGCUGAAGCGCAGGUUCGAGCAGAUGAAGCAGGACCGGGCGACCCGUUACCAGGGCGUGAACCUGUACGUUAAGAACCUGGAUGACUCCAUCGAUGAUGAGAAGCUGAGAAAAGAGUUCUCUCCCUAUGGCGUGAUUACUAGCGCUAAGGUGAUGACAGAGGGUGGCCACAGCAAGGGGUUUGGCUUUGUGUGUUUUUCCUCCCCAGAAGAGGCGACGAAGGCCGUGACCGAGAUGAACGGGCGCAUCGUGGGCACCAAGCCGCUGUACGUGGCACUGGCCCAGCGCAAAGAGGAGCGGAAGGCCAUCCUGACCAACCAGUACAUGCAGCGUCUCUCCACGGUGCGGGCUCUGGGCGGCCCCCUCUUGGGCUCCUUCCAGCAGCCUGCCAGCUACUUCCUGCCUGCCGUGCCCCAGCCUCCAGCCCAGGCUGCCUACUAUGCCUCCAGCCCCUCCGUGCAGCCCGCCCCCAGGUGGACGGCCCAGCCUCCUAGAGUCUCCUCCACCUACCCUCCAGCUGCCUCAAUGGUCCGGCCACCAGCCAUGUUGCGGCGCCCCCCGGCCCAGGUCAACAGUGUCAGGCAGGCCUCUACCCAGGUGCCACCCCCGGGGCCCCACACCCAAAGAGUGGCCAACAUUGGUACCCAGACCACAGGAGCCAGCGGGGUGGGAUAUUCUACCCCAACCGGGCCUGUCCUGACACACAAAUAUUCCUCAGCAGCACACAACCCUGGGGUGCGGGAGUCGGCUGUGUGCAUCCCGGGACAGGAGCCCCUGACGGCGUCCAUGCUGGCCGCGGCCCCGCUGCACGAGCAAAAGCAGAUGAUUGGUGAGCGUCUGUACCCCCUCAUCUAUGAUACCCACACCCAGCUGGCCGGCAAGAUCACGGGCAUGCUGCUGGAGAUCGACAACUCAGAGCUGCUGCUCAUGCUGGAGUCCCCCGAGUCCCUCAACGCCAAGGUGGUCUGGGGCCUGGGCGGCAGGGCGGCCCGCCAGGGCAGGAGGAGAGCUCACAGCAAAGACCUCUCCUAGGGGCGCUACCAGGCUGUGGCUGGGACGGUUUACCUUUUCGCUAAACUUUCAGCUAGUACUUGUUGAAUCUUUGGGGGGGGGCCCUUAAGGGUUGGCCAUUACAGCCCCUCCAGAUUAAUCCUUUGUAGCUCUGCAUGCAAGGUUUUGGGACCAGGAGCUGUGUUCUGACGGAGUGUAGGGUUAGGAUUCUCCCAGCUGUCCAGCGGUGGACACCUGUCUUGAGCAGGUGACCGUGGGUUUCCGUCAGGGGCGCCUGCCAGCAGCAAUGCUGCGGAGGGAGGGGACUUCCCGUACCUAGCACGCUUAGGCAGGGAGGCCAGGGCUCUGCUGGGACCCCACGGGGCGGCCGCCCUCACCACCGUCCCCUCACUCGUGUCCCACAGGUGGAAGAGGCUCUGGCAGUGCUGCAGGCACAUCAGGCCACGGAGCUGACGGCUGUGAACGUGCUCUGAAACCAGAAAAUGGAAUCCUCACUGCCUUGGCUGACAAGAGGAUGGCGUUUCCUGCUCUUGGCUCUCUGUCCCUGGGAACC
Molecule: RNA transcript, 4054 nt
Organism: Ailuropoda melanoleuca (giant panda)
Lineage: Eukaryota; Metazoa; Chordata; Mammalia; Carnivora; Ursidae
Gene: PABPC1L
Gene name: poly(A) binding protein cytoplasmic 1 like
Exons: 13
Source: RefSeq, a predicted model, not a curated record